UACGUAGGGGGCAAGCGUUGUCCGGAAUCAUUGGGCGUAAAGCGCGCGUAGGCGGCCCGGUAAGUCCGUUGUGAAAGUCAAAGGCUCAACCUUUGAACGCCGAUGGAUACUGCCGGGCUAGAGUCCGGAAGAGGCGAGUGGAAUUCCUGGUGUAGCGGUGGAAUGCGCAGAUAUCGGGAGGAACACCUAUGGCGAAGGCAGCUCGCUGGGACGUUACUGACGCUGAGACGCGAAGGCGUGGGGAGCAAACAGG
RNAcentral lists this ribosomal RNA (253 nucleotides) under uncultured bacterium. RNAcentral describes it as "partial 16S ribosomal RNA". It matches the Rfam family "Bacterial small subunit ribosomal RNA", at positions 524 to 776 of the family's 1533-position model. The record is from RNAcentral.